This 472-nucleotide ribosomal RNA is filed under the name uncultured bacterium. RNAcentral's name for it is "bacterial SSU rRNA". It matches the Rfam family "Bacterial small subunit ribosomal RNA", at positions 28 to 507 of the family's 1533-position model. The record is from RNAcentral.
GACGAACGCUGGCGGCGUGCUUAACACAUGCAAGUCGAACGGAGAUAUAUAAAUAGUUUACUAUGAAUAUAUUUUAGUGGCGGACGGGUGAGUAACACGUGGGCAACCUGCCUUAGAGUGGGGGAUAACAGCGAGAAAUCGUUGCUAAUACCGCAUGAAAUUAGAUUUUCGCAUGAAGGUUUAAUGAAAGGAGAAAUCCGCUAUAAGAUGGGCCCGCGCCUGAUUAGCUAGUUGGUGAGGUAACAGCUCACCAAGGCGACGAUCAGUAGCCGAUCUGAGAGGAUGACCGGCCACACUGGAACUGAGACACGGUCCAGACUCCUACGGGAGGCAGCAGUGGGGAAUAUUGCACAAUGGGGGAAACCCUGAUGCAGCAACGCCGCGUGGAGGAAGAAGGUUUUCGGAUUGUAAACUCCUGUCUUUUGGGACGAUAAUGACGGUACCAAAAGAGGAAGCCACGGCUAACUACGUG